AGAGUUGAUCCUGGCUCAGGACGAACGCUGGCGGUGCGCUUUAUGCAUGCAAGUCGAGCGAAGCUUUUCAGUAGUUUACUACAGAAAAUGACUGAGCGGCGAACGGGUGAGUAACGCGUGAGCAAUCUACCUUAGUUACAGGGAUAGCCCGAGGAAACUCGGAUUAAUACGUGAUAUUCUUUAUUUCUCGCAUGAGAAUAAAAGGAAAGGUCAGCCGAACUAAGAUGAGCUCGCGUUCUAUCAGCUAGUUGGUGAGGUAAAAGCUUACCAAGGCUACGACGGAUAGCUGGUCUGAGAGGACGAUCAGCCACACUGGGACUGAGACACGGCCCAGACUCCUACGGGAGGCUGCAGCAGGGAAUAUUGUGCAAUGAACGAAAGUUUGACACAGCGACACCGCGUGUGGGAUGACGGAUCUAGGUUUGUAAACCACUUUCAGGAGGGAAGAAAAUGACGGUACCUCCACAAGAAGCCCCGGCCAACUACGUGCCAGCAGCCGCGGUAAUACGUAGGGGGCGAGCGUUGUCCGGAUUUAUUGGGCGUAAAGAGCUCGUAGGCGGUUCAACAAGUCGGUCGUGAAAGUUCAGGGCUCAACCCUGAAAUGUCGAUCGAUACUGUUGUGACUAGGAUACGGUAGAGGUGAGUGGAAUUCCGAGUGUAGCGGUGAAAUGCGUAGAUAUUCGGAGGAACACCAAUUGCGAAGGCAGCUCACUGGACCGCUAUCGACGCUGAGGAGCGAAAGCUAGGGGAGCAAACAGGAUUAGAUACCCAGGUAGUCCUAGCUGUAAACGAUGGAUACUAGACGUAGGAACUGGAUUGACGGUUUCUGUGUCGUAGCUAACGCGUUAAGUAUCCCGCCUGGGGAGUACGGUCGCAAGACUAAAACUUAAAGGAAUUGACGG
RNAcentral lists this ribosomal RNA (902 nucleotides) under uncultured marine bacterium. RNAcentral describes it as "bacterial SSU rRNA". It matches the Rfam family "Bacterial small subunit ribosomal RNA", at positions 8 to 916 of the family's 1533-position model. The record is from RNAcentral.